Small nucleolar RNA from Hypanus sabinus (Atlantic stingray), 64 nucleotides. RefSeq annotates it as small nucleolar RNA Z39. The transcript has a single exon. NCBI's taxonomy places the organism in Eukaryota, Metazoa, Chordata, Chondrichthyes, Myliobatiformes, Dasyatidae. The record is from RefSeq and is a predicted model, not a curated record.
GUACAUAUGAUGUGAAUUUAUUAGAAUGAGUGAUUCUAUGACACUGUAAACGCUUUCUGAUGUA